CCUCGGCUUCUGGCAAAAUUGUUCUCCAGUGCAAAAUUACACUACAUUCAAUUUCCUACAAAAAGGGUCUGUACUUUUCUUCCUCUUGGACCAAUAAUUUGGAACGGGUUAAAAACAACUAUUAAAUUGUGUACCAUAUCUAAGUGCAGUAGAGGCAUACUAAUGGAUAAAUUGUGUUCCAGGGGUGAAACAGGCUGGGCUGUGGGAGAUGUGUGGAGUAGAGUGUGAGUGAAGGUAGCUCACUGCACUGUGUUUGUGCACUUCCCACCUCCAUAGGUCUGCAAAUCUGAAGGUGGAGCUGGUGAUUCUCCACUCUAUCUCGUCCACUGCGUCACAAGAAGCAACUACAGAGUAUAUCACAAACUUAUAUGGCCCCUCUGUAGUGCAUUAUAUGAAUCACUGCCGACACAGUGCACAGACACGCUCGAGGAGGGUUUAGUUUGCACAACGUGCAUUAACACUACAUGGAAUGCGAAUAUAAUGUACUAAUAACACUAAUACAGGUAAUGAAUGUGAACAGAAUCUACUUUAAUCUCUGCAUACUGUGCUACACUGCUACAGGAGAAAUUGGUUCUUUAUGGUUCUGUUCAGAAGACGUAGUGUUCUUCUAAGAAAGAUCACUUCCACCAUUGUGAGUACUGCUCACUUCUCUGUUUACAGACAGGCUGUAACUGCCUUGUGUUUCGUGUCCACUUAUCUUUUGCUGCUAGACAAAAUAGCUUUGAUGAACUUGUGUUUAAUAUAAUCCAUUAUGGAGUCGAGGUAGCAGUUUUCGUUAUACUGGUUAUCACUGUUAACAUUCAACCGCGAUUCUUAUACAUAUAUUUUAACAACGCGUUUCAAGAUAUGAUGAUGAGAGCAUUGUCUCUUGAAACGCAUUGUUAAAAUAUAUGUAUAAGAAUCGCGGUUGAAUGCUAACAGUGAUAACCAGAACUUGUGUUUAUAUAGUGAAGUUAUUUCCUGUUUGGAAAGGGAGUAGGCCUAUUUAUUUGAAGGUGUUAAGUGAGCUAUUAUGUUGUCAGUUACUUAUGUGGUGUUGGUGGGAAAGGGACUGGACUGUAAAAAGUGGCACCCUGCUGCUGUGUAUUGUAAAACCGUGUAAUUGUGUUUUAGGCACUUGGUGGUGAAUUAAUGGAUGACUAAAAAUGUUACUGCACUUCUCUCCCAUUCAUUGUGUUACAGGUAGACUGCAUAAAUAUUUUCCAUUCGUAAUUCAUGAAUUGCUGCAUUUGCAGAGUGGGCUGCACCGAGUGGAACCACUUAACGCACAUCCACAGUACAUCUUCCGAGAUAGGUGUGGCUAUGUCUGAUGGAAUGUGACUGUUAAUAUUGAAGUCUAUAACAGUUAUCUGCUGUAACGCAUUGCCUGACUUAUGUUGAAAUAUCUGAACAACUGUUAUAGUCUUGGUGAUCUACUUUUGUUGCAGUGGAUUAAGCCUCUGAGCCUCAUCGUAUUUUUGGAGAACUGAGGCAGGGUGAUGCAUUUGAUAACCCUCGUGCUGUGAAAAGUAUUCCAGCUUGUGACAAUGAAAUCUAUGAUGUCCUGUACAUAUUGACAGUGUGUCCUAUUUGGAAGAGUCUCUUCAGUGUGGUAGACAAUUGACAGUUCCAGCUGUUGAACUUUUUUACAUGAUAUGAGUAGUGCACUCAACAACUGCAAAUAAGUACCCAGUAAACUGAAAAUAACUCCACUGUGUAAACAUGAGCUCAGUGAAGCUAUUCUGUCCAUUUGCAUAAUACAAAUGGACAGGAAAUGCUGGGGAGCAGCACCUGUGGUGGGGGAAGCUGCCUUUCCCGUAACGGAUCACUAAGAAUCAGUUUCUCCUCUUGCAGUGUAGAACAUUGUGCAGAGAUUUACAUACGUCCAGUUCAUGUACAUUCCCUGCAUUAGUGUUGUUAGUAACUUGUAUCUGCAUUCUGUGUAGUGUUAACUCAUUUUGUGCAAAAUAAACCCUCCCCGCGGACAUCUGCGUGCUGUGUCACCAGCGAUUCGUGUGGCGUAUUGUGGACGGAGAACUUUGUGAUGUACCCUGUAGUCGCUUCUUGUGACGUAGCGAGGGGGAUCAACUGCUUAACCUUCAGUUUGCUUACCUAGGAAGGAGGGAAGUACAUUAAUUUUUUACCAUUUGAACAAUAUUUUUAGUGCCGUAAUUUGCAAUUUUUUUCAUCCUCUGCAAACUAUUAGUCCUAGAGAAAAAGUGACUAGAACCUUUUUUGGCAGGGAAGUGAAUGCAGGUUAAUUUUGUAUUGGGGAAGAAUUUCCCCAGGAUCCGUUGUUUUUGAGUCAUUCAAGAACAAAAAUAAAAAAUUACCUUUAAACCUACCCCCACACCAAUGCUCACACUCCACAGGUCAGGGUUUUUAGUACAAUGUUUGUGACAAUAUAUCCUAGAACUGUGUAAAACUUUGUGACUACGUGACUUUUCCCCUAAUUUUCCUUCAUUGACUGGACUAAAUGUUAGUGUUUGGAACUGACACAGAUAGUGAAGGGCUUCAUCAUCAAAGGCAUUUAGCGACAGCUGUAAACAGAAUGGCAGAAGAACCUUUUGAGAGGACGGAAAAGAAACCCGAGCCUGUCAGCAUUACCUCCCCUGAAAUGUAAGAAACUGGUGGAUUCCAAGACAAAAUUGUGGAAAAUGGAGACAUCUUCAAAUAACAGAAAGAAAUAAAGGCUGAAGAGGCAGGAUCACAGAUGUCAGAUGAAAGUUACCGCAAAAAAGGUUAAGUUGGAAAAGAGUGAAAAUGAAAAUGGAUGCUUGUGCAGUGACUGAAGUUGAAGUCAUAAAUUGAGGAUGAUGAAGCUACACGAAAAAGCUCUCAGCUCUACAGUCCGAGUCUGACCGACUUGUCUGACGAGCCACUGUCGGCGGCACUGCGAUCGCAGGCCCCUCACGGUGUGCGCUUACUCAGGCAAGUGUCGUGGGGAUUUGUUAAUGUAGAGGCUGACUGUACGCUGUAGGUGCCUGCAGACUUCCAUCAUUAGAGGAACAGUUCUAUGAACAGUACAUGCCAUUCUCUGGAGUGUGGACCACUUCAUUGGUUACUCGAGUUCCUCAUCUGACCCCAGAACUGUCAUUUACUGCAGCUAGGCAUUUAGCACUAAUAAAAUGUGAGUUACAUAAAAUGGAAGUGUCCGACAUAUCAGCAGCCGUGAAGAUAUGAAAAUUUAAAGGUAUCUCCAUUUUGAGCAGUACAAACUUUAGAAUUAUUAUUCUAAUUUGUUAAUCCUGUGGUGUAGUCCACGUACUGUGUGAAAGUGACUUGUCAACAUAUGAUCGAAGAACAUUUAUUAUAAACUUUCCUGGUGAUCUCAGUGAAUUGCAUUUGGUAAUAUCAAGACCUAUGAACUGGUUAAGAGAGUUACUCAGCUAUAAAACUUUUGUGCCUGUGUUUGUUUAUAUUAUGCAUUAUAUGUAUAUUUAACCAAUUGUAUAAGAAAUCUUUAAAUAAGAAUGUUAAAUGACUGUGUAAACUUGUGACUAGUAAUAAUUGAAGGUUAUUGGCAAUGAAAUGUUGUUGUAAGCUUGUAGUGUAUCUUACGGAAUAUGCCCAUGACACAGGCAAGUCCUAGGAGCAAUACACAUUGGGUUCAGAGCUGGCUAGAAAUAACUUUUUCAGUUAUUUUGAAAUUUAACUUAGUCAUCUGCCAGAAUGCCUAUGAUGUUGGGGGCUAGAAUAAAUCUGCAGUAACUCAUUUUCUGUUGUAAAAGGCAAAUAAAAGGUGUUUUAUACCUAGCAAA
Molecule: long non-coding RNA, 3740 nt
Organism: Schistocerca serialis cubense
Lineage: Eukaryota; Metazoa; Arthropoda; Insecta; Orthoptera; Acrididae
Exons: 3
Source: RefSeq, a predicted model, not a curated record